CCUACGGGUGGCAGCAGUGGGGAAUAUUGCACAAUGGGGGAAACCCUGAUGCAGCAACGCCGCGUGAGUGAUGACGGCCUUCGGGUUGUAAAGCUCUGUCUUCAGGGACGAUAAUGAGGGUACCUGAGGAGGAAGCCACGGCUAACUACGUGCCAGCAGCCGCGGUAAUACGUAGGUCGGCCGCGUUGUCCGGAUUUACUGGGCGUAAAGGGAGCGUAGGCGGACUUUUAAGUGAGAUGUGAAAUAAUCGGGCUCAAAUUGAGUGCUGCAUUUGAAACUGGACGUCUAGAGUGCAGGAGAGGAGAGUGGAAUGCCUGGUGUAGCGGUGAAAUGCGUAGAGAUUAGGAAGAACACCAGUGGCGAAGGCGGUUCUCUGGACUGUAACUGACGCUGAGGCUCGAAAGCGUGGGGAGCGAACAGGAUUAGAUACCCCGGUAGUC
RNAcentral lists this ribosomal RNA (440 nucleotides) under uncultured bacterium. RNAcentral's name for it is "partial 16S ribosomal RNA". It matches the Rfam family "Bacterial small subunit ribosomal RNA", at positions 338 to 795 of the family's 1533-position model. The record is from RNAcentral.